Molecule: long non-coding RNA, 504 nt
Organism: Wasmannia auropunctata (little fire ant)
Lineage: Eukaryota; Metazoa; Arthropoda; Insecta; Hymenoptera; Formicidae
Exons: 3
Source: RefSeq, a predicted model, not a curated record
CGCCGCCCCAUGCGUCGUCGUCGCACCACCGAGCGUUUCAUUUGAUAUGUUGGGGUUGCGUUCGCCAUCGUGAUAGCCGUCGAAUCGUGUUAAUACGUGCCACGCACAUUCCGUCAUUCGUCGUGCUCUUGUGACUAGUAGGCGUGUCGGGGAUCGUGACGACCGUGUGAGAGUGCGAAUAUCGUGCGAAUAGUGCGAAUACCGCAUCUCGAGAGAGACAGACAGAAAGAAAAGAGAGAGAAAAAGGCUUUCGCGACGGGAUGAUCUUUUGGAUCAGUUUUCCUCGUUUUUCCUGUAUUCGGAACAGACACUGACGAUAUGGAUGCAAUAUGGCUUCAGUACGUUGGCAUGCCUUUGGGAACAGUUUUCUUUCACCAGUCAUCGUGUUACUCUUGCUACUGUGUCCACGCAAUUCAACAGGUCAGUAAGAAACAUGUGGAACAAAUUAAAACGUUUCACACGUUCAGUAAAAAUUGACAACUUUUUAUAUAUAACUUUAAUAUA